This 568-nucleotide small RNA is filed under the name Pan troglodytes (chimpanzee). RNAcentral's name for it is "retained intron". Lineage: Eukaryota; Metazoa; Chordata; Mammalia; Primates; Hominidae. The record is from RNAcentral.
UUAUGUACUCUUUGGGGAUCUCCUCUUGCCUUUCUUUCGUGCUGGUGAAUUUCUUAGAUCACCAUGUUGCCUGCUGUAGCCUAGUAGGUAUCAUGCUAAUUCUGUAGACCACUUUUCCGUGGUUGAUAUUGUAAGUUAAAUUUCUGUUCAUAAAAAAUGUAGCCAUUAGAUUAACGUUUUCUAUUUUUGUUAAUGCUCUUUCGCAGGGGUCUUGCUCCUCAGAACAAACCAGAAUUGCAGAAGGUGAUGGAAAAAAGAAAACGAGACCAAGUAAUAAAGCAGAAGGAAGAAGAAGCACAGAAGAAGAAAUCUGACUUGGAAAUAGAGCUAUUAAAACGGCAGCAGAAGUUGGAGCAGCUUGAACUUGAGAAGCAGAAAUUGCAAGAAGAGCAAGAAAAUGCCCCCGAGUUUGUGAAGGUGAAAGGCAAUCUCAGGAGAACAGGCCAAGAAGUCGCCCAAGCCCAGGAGUCCUAGGCUGAGGCUGCACCAAGACCUCGUGUGUCACCCCACAGAGCUGUCUGUGGGUGCCUUCUCAAUCUCAGGGCAAAAGCCCCUGGAGAAUAUUCCA